AAGUCGUAACAAGGUUUCCGUAGGUGAACCUGCGGAAGGAUCAUUAACACGUUUAAACACGUAUAUACCUCUCUGUGAACUUAUUCGAAAAGUUGGCGGCCAGCGUAGCAAUGGGGGUAGAUGCUUUACUAUGUCGACUUAGGCUCCUGGAUGUCCGGAGAUACUCCUUCGUUGUUCUACCUGCCUAUUCGCCCCUCCUACCUAAUACUAGCUCCUGGAUGUCCGGAGUUUGUCGCGUGUGCGGGGGUUGGGUAUUCUGGCUCAUAUGACUUGAAUCAUAGUAGUUUAUAUUCACCAAUUGUACUAAAUUGUAAUUUGUGAUGGUUGGGUGGGGGAUUAAAAACCCCUCGCGCAGCUCACGUUAAUAAAACACUAUACAACUCUUAGCAACGGAUAUCUCGGUUCU
RNAcentral lists this unclassified non-coding RNA (406 nucleotides) under fungal sp. Its description in RNAcentral is "partial internal transcribed spacer region". The stretch from base 1 to 46 matches the Rfam family "Eukaryotic small subunit ribosomal RNA", at positions 1786 to 1831 of the family's 1831-position model. Lineage: Eukaryota; Fungi. The record is from RNAcentral.